RNAcentral lists this transfer RNA (69 nucleotides) under Ictidomys tridecemlineatus (thirteen-lined ground squirrel). RNAcentral describes it as "Spermophilus tridecemlineatus (thirteen-lined ground squirrel) tRNA". It matches the Rfam family "tRNA". Rfam says of the family: Transfer RNA (tRNA) molecules are approximately 80 nucleotides in length. The record is from Rfam by way of RNAcentral. Lineage: Eukaryota; Metazoa; Chordata; Mammalia; Rodentia; Sciuridae.
GGGGUUGUGGCUCAGUGGUAGAGCACUUGCCUAGCAUGUAUGAGGCACUGGGUUCAAUUCUCAUCACCA